GGAGCAAACAGGAUUAGAUACCCUGGUAGUCCACGCCCUAAACGAUGUCAACUAGUUGUUGGGGAAGGAGACUUCUUUAGUAACGUAGCUAACGCGUGAAGUUGACCGCCUGGGGAGUACGGCCGCAAGGUUAAAACUCAAAGGAAUUGACGGGGACCCGCACAAGCGGUGGAUGAUGUGGAUUAAUUCGAUGCAACGCGAAAAACCUUACCUACCCUUGACAUGCCAGGAACUUUCCAGAGAUGGAUUGGUGCCCGAAAGGGAGCCUGGACACAGGUGCUGCAUGGCUGUCGUCAGCUCGUGUCGUGAGAUGUUGGGUUAAGUCCCGCAACGAGCGCAACCCUUGUCAUUAGUUGCUACAUUUAGUUGAGCACUCUAAUGAGACUGCCGGUGACAAGCCGGAGGAAGGUGGGGAUGACGUCAAGUCCUCAUGGCCCUUAUGGGUAGGGCUUCACACGUCAUACAAUGGCGCGUACAGAGGGUUGCCAACCCGCAAGGGGGAGCCAAUCCCAGAAAGCGCGUCGUAGUCCGGAUUGUUCUCUGCAACUCGAGAGCAUGAAGUCGGAAUCGCUAGUAAUCGCGGAUCAGCAUGUCGCGGUGAAUACGUUCCCGGGUCUUGUACACACCGCCCGUCACACCAUGGGAGUGGGUUUCACCAGAAGUAGCUAGCCUAACCGCAAGGGGGGCGGUUACCACGGUGAGAUUCAUGACUGGGGUGAAGUCGUAACAAGGUA
RNAcentral lists this ribosomal RNA (734 nucleotides) under uncultured deep-sea bacterium. RNAcentral describes it as "bacterial SSU rRNA". It matches the Rfam family "Bacterial small subunit ribosomal RNA", at positions 765 to 1498 of the family's 1533-position model. The record is from RNAcentral.